Molecule: ribosomal RNA, 582 nt
Filed under: Pentaneurini cf. Zavrelimyia sp. 1 SRM-2010
Lineage: Eukaryota; Metazoa; Arthropoda; Insecta; Diptera; Chironomidae
Description: eukaryotic LSU rRNA
Rfam family: Eukaryotic large subunit ribosomal RNA
Source: RNAcentral
UUCAAUACCAUUUGCAAAAAUGGUGUGCACUUUUCUCUUAGUAAGACGUUGUGAUCCAUUAGGAAUCGAAUUUUUCUUUUAGAAAAUUUCAGUAGGCUACCAAUAGGCGGGCAUUGAAGUUCACAUUGACAAAUGGCAGCAUCUUUUGGUGAUGUAUAUUGUCUUGUGAGCAUGCCAUGUUCUGAUGUAGCUGCCUGAUGGUUUUUAAAGGUUGCAUCAUUGAUACUUGUAUCACCCAUCUUGUUAUGGGCUUUUCAGAUGUAUACCCGAUCAACAACGGUUUCAUUUGGGAUACCUUUGGGACCCGUCUUGAAACACGGACCAAGGAGUCUAUCUAGUAUGCGAGUAAAUGGGCUUUUUAUGGAAACCUAUUUGCGUAAAUAACUUGACUGUAAUUUAAUGGGAUUACGUGUUUUGCACCUCCAUCCCGGAGUAUUUUCAUCACAUAUAUGGGCAACUAUAUAUAGAAAAUAUAUCAUGAGCAUACUGGACAUGACCCGAAAGAUGGUGAACUAUGCCUGAUCAGGUUGAAGUCAGGGGAAACCCUGAUGGAGGACCGAAGCAAUUCUGACGUGCAAAUCG